This 468-nucleotide ribosomal RNA is filed under the name uncultured bacterium. RNAcentral describes it as "partial 16S ribosomal RNA". It matches the Rfam family "Bacterial small subunit ribosomal RNA", at positions 28 to 507 of the family's 1533-position model. The record is from RNAcentral.
GACGAACGCUGGCGGCGUGCUUAACACAUGCAAGUCGAACGGAAAGGCCCUGCUUUUGUGGGGUGCUCGAGUGGCGAACGGGUGAGUAACACGUGAGUAACCUGCCCUUGACUUUGGGAUAACUUCAGGAAACUGGGGCUAAUACCGGAUAGGAGCUCCUGCUGCAUGGUGGGGGUUGGAAAGUUUCGGCGGUUGGGGAUGGACUCGCGGCUUAUCAGCUUGUUGGUGGGGUAGUGGCUUACCAAGGCUUUGACGGGUAGCCGGCCUGAGAGGGUGACCGGCCACAUUGGGACUGAGAUACGGCCCAGACUCCUACGGGAGGCAGCAGUGGGGAAUAUUGCACAAUGGGCUGAAGCCUGAUGCAGCCACGCCGCGUGCGGGAUGACGGCCUUCGGGUUGUAAUCCGCUUUCGCCUGUGACGAAGCGUGAGUGACGGUAAUGGGUAAAGAAGCACCGGCUAACUACGUG